Molecule: non-coding RNA, 652 nt
Organism: Punica granatum (pomegranate)
Lineage: Eukaryota; Viridiplantae; Streptophyta; Magnoliopsida; Myrtales; Lythraceae
Source: RefSeq, a predicted model, not a curated record
UUUGCCUCGAGUUCAGGUUGGAGGUCGAUUGUUGAUAUAGACUCGAAUGUUCCGACCUUGAGUGGAAACCUUGAAGGGAACAAUCAGGUUUAAUUCGAUAUCGGAUUUCUCGAGUUGUUGGGAUUCCUUGCUUGAAUGGGUUUGCCAUGUCCGAUGAAUCGGUUGCACUCAGAUUGCCCCAUCACCGAUCUUCCCCUUGUUGCUGCUGCUCAGCAUAAGCAUCAGUAAAACACCACGAACUCUAAGGGUCUAGCAAGGUACAAUUCUUCUCCCCCCAGCAAGUUCCAGGAGAUCAAUUGCCGAACUUUUCAUACUGCGGACGGGAUCCUUCAAAUCCCUCUCCAGGCUCCCGCCGAUCUCCCUGCUGAUUCCCAAGUCCUUGCAUCUGCUGGAGAGGACUAAAUCUCUUUUUCUUUUUUUUGUUAAUUGGAACAGGAGAGAAAGAAAGAGUAAAAGGGAGAGAAAGAAAGACUAGAAAAAGGGGACGGAAGUAAAAGAGAAACGGAAGAAAGGGGAAAAUAAAAUAAAAAAGCAUGAAGCAAUAAAUAAUGACACGCCGGAUGAUAUCGUCCAUUUCUUGACGAAAGAGAGACGGAAUGGCUUCUUAGGUGCGCCUUAUAAUGGUGAAGGGUUCAUGAGAUGUAAAAAAAAA